AUGGGUUCUGCUAUCACUCUUGGGAUGGGACCCUGCGGUGCAUUAGCUAGUUGGUAAGGUAACGGGCUUACCAAGGCAAUGAUGCAUAGCCCGAGUUGAGAGACUGAUCGGGCCACAUUGGGGACUGAGACACGGGCCCAAAACUCCUACGGGGAGGCAGCAGUAGGGAAUCUUCCACAAUGGACGCAAGUCUGAUGGAGCAACGCCGCGUGAGUGAAGUAAGGGUUUCGGCUACGUAAAGCUCUGUUGGUAGUGAAGAAAGAUAGAGGUAGUAACUGGUCUUUAUUUGACGGUAAUUACUUAGAAGUCACGGCUAACUACGUGCCAGCAGCCGCGGUAAU
Molecule: ribosomal RNA, 341 nt
Filed under: uncultured Lactobacillus sp.
Lineage: Bacteria; Bacillati; Bacillota; Bacilli; Lactobacillales; Lactobacillaceae
Description: bacterial SSU rRNA
Rfam family: Bacterial small subunit ribosomal RNA
Source: RNAcentral